AUAAAAAUAGUUAUUGACUCUCGCCAUACAGCUGCACUUGAAAAAAUAUGUAUAUGUAUGAAACAAAAUACGUUCCCAAACCGACACACGAACACAAAAAUACAGAGACAUAUUAUGAUGACUACAGAUAACAAAAACAACACAGCUGGUAAUUUAUUUGGAUAGAAUUAAUCUUGAAUUUUAAAGCAAAAGUAUUUAAGUGCCUUAAAUACUGUUAGCAGGACACUGCAACGAUGUUAUCUAUAUUUUUUAGUGAAAUUUCGUAAAAAGCGGGAAAAAAAAUCCAUGAUAUUUUGGCAGAUUGGGUGUUUUAAAACCCCAAGAAGAUAAAUACAGAACACAACGCCUGAAAUUUUAUCAGGUAGGGGACGGCUGGUCGAUUACAAUGACCUCAGUCUUCAAAUAGUACUUAUUUUAUCGACUCAGAAAGGAUGGAUUGCAUUGAUGUCGUUUCCCAAUUAGUAUUCAGUUUAUCAACCCAGAAAGGGAUGAAAGACAAAGCCGACUUCGGUGAAAUUUGAACUCAGUGAUAAGAAACUCUCAAUAAAGCUGAACAGCAGUAGGUCUCCAGAGAAGAAACCCCCAUCAGGCAAGUGUUUCAUCCCCUAUCUUCUUACUCUCUAAGGGGACUGGGUAUCUUUCUGAUGACACUUUUUAGCCACUUGGAGACUUAUGCAUUUAGAUCGCCUCGAGAUUUUAUAUGGUUGUAACGCCUUUCAGUUGACUCAGCUUUCAAACUUAUAUUCAAAGAAGAAAUAACGUUGGCUGUCACGGCUGCAGUGAAACGUCAACGCUGUCACCUUGACUCACUGAGAGUUACUUCCCUUAGCGCUAAAACACAAAAAUAUUUCUUUUAAACGGUAUAAAGGGAGUCUUUGUUCCUCCUCGACCAGAUUCAGCUGGAUCAUCUCUUUAUUAUUUCUGAUGUUGCUUUUAGGGCUUUCGUCUUGUUCUUUCCAGAGACUGAGAGCUGUUUCAUUAGAUCGUAAGCAGUAUUGCCCACAAAACAUCUGACUCCAACCUCAAUGACGAGUACCUUGAUCUGGAAGUUCGCUUCCUUCAGGCUGUUGGCCUCAAUGGCUUGUUUUUCAGUGUGCUUCUUCCAUUCUAAUUUCAAACGGCACGGUGAGUUCAAUCAAAAGCAGUUGCUUUAAUGAAAUGGAAUGGAGUACUCUUCCUGAUAAUUUCUGAUUGUUUUGAUGAUCCUGUGAGGUUGGUUCCCAGUCAUCCUCACACCCAGAAGACUCCAUUCCCGUGCCCCAUAUGGCAUAGCUGUUCGUGGCCAUAAUUUGCUGCCUUCUGACGCUAGAAUAUUGUUGGAGAUUCUGGUUUUAUUCUCGAUGUACUUAUCGUGCGUACGAUCUCCUUAAGCACUUGAUUGUGCCUCCACGUAACCAGAACAUGUUUCAUCGUCUACCUACCCCGACAGAGUUGGCAUUCAGGAUUAUCUGGUUUGCACCACUUCACUAGAUUCAUAUUCGAAGGCAGAAGAUCAUAGACAGAGCUGAAGAUAAAGCUUAUUCUAAGAGGUGCCAUACGCCUCAAAUCGUUCCACCUAAGUCGCUUUUUGAGUGCACCUUCUCACAUCGUUCCUCUUGGCUCUGCUCUACUACCUUCCAGAAGAAAUGGCGCAAAGCAUUUUGUCUGAUGUGCUAACAAUUCAGCCAGCGUGCCACCUUAAUAUAUAAACAUAAAAAUAUCUGCUGAUGUUAUAUAACUUAAUUACUAUUUAAUCCUUUCAUCACUAACAAUGGUGGUGAAGAUGGCCAUUGAUAUGCAUUCUGACUAAAUGCUCUGAUAAAUACGAUGAUGGUCCUCUCUGAGCAUUAUUUCUAGAAGGUAAAUUUGAGAGUCCUGCAAGGAUUCUGACUGCAUGUGUGCUAGAUGAUCCCAUUCGAUUAUCAAAUAUAUUGGUUUAUGUGCAUUAGGGAGAGCUGCUCCUCGUACUACUUUCUAGUGGCACGUCCACUUGCUAAGCAUAUGUGACUGUCCCCUCAGCUGUCAUAUGCUAAGCAUAUGUGACUGUCCCCUCAGUUUUAUUGGUAGUCUUUUUGUGAAAUGGGAAGAGGGGGAUUUUUCUUUUCAUUUCUCUGAAAUUUGUAGAGCGUGAUGUUGAAACACGAACCUAUUUUUGCCAUUUCUAUCUUAGCAACAAAAGAACCUACGCAGUAAAAUGCCUAGUAUCUGAUCGAUAUUACAUUUUAUUUAUUGCUUUAUUGUUUUAAAGAGAGAACGAAAAAAUAAAGAAUUGACGAUCCGAAAUCCUGGAGACAUGUGAAAUGUUUGCUUUAAAGAGGUGAAGUGACAGAGUAAAGAGUAUCAAACUGAAACAAUGCAACGCUGAGUUAUGCAUCAAUGGCUGCAACUUUAUGGAGUUUACAGUCUAAGAUAAAGGACAAGAGGAGGUUCGUAUCUCAUAAAUAUUCAAAAAGAAUCAUUUACCCCCACAGAGAAACAACAAAACACUAUUCAUAAAAGGGUCAUCAGUCGGCAGCAGCUGUAGAAGUUAUUACUACAUUUACCCAUCAAAUGGAGCAAAAUAAAAAUUCUGUUAAACCAAGAGUAAA
Long non-coding RNA from Octopus bimaculoides (California two-spot octopus), 2567 nucleotides. The record is from RefSeq and is a predicted model, not a curated record. Lineage: Eukaryota; Metazoa; Mollusca; Cephalopoda; Octopoda; Octopodidae.